CUCCUACGGGAGGCAGCAGUGAGGAAUAUUGGUCAAUGGACGAGAGUCUGAACCAGCCAAGUAGCGUGCAGGAGGACGGCCCUAUGGGUUGUAAACUGCUUUAGUAUGGGAAUAAAGUCAUCCACGUGUGGAUGUUUGCAUGUACCAUAAGAAUAAGGACCGGCUAAUUCCGUGCCAGCAGCCGCGGUAAUACGGAAGGUCCGGGCGUUAUCCGGAUUUAUUGGGUUUAAAGGGAGCGUAGGCGGAUUUUUAAGUCAGUUGUGAAAGUUCACGGCCCAACCGUGAAAUUGCAGUUGAAACUGAAAGUCUUGAGUGCACGCAGGGAUGCUGGAAUUCGUGGUGUAGCGGUGAAAUGCUUAGAUAUCACGAAGAACUCCGAUCGCGAAGGCAUGUGUCCGGAGUACAACUGACGCUGAGGCUCGAAAGUGUGGGUAUCAAACAGGAUUAGAUACCCUGGUAGUCCACACAGUAAACGAUGAAUACUCGCAGUUGGCGAUAUACGGUCAGCUGCCAAGUGAAAACAAUAAGAUU
This 531-nucleotide ribosomal RNA is filed under the name uncultured bacterium. RNAcentral describes it as "bacterial SSU rRNA". It matches the Rfam family "Bacterial small subunit ribosomal RNA", at positions 336 to 868 of the family's 1533-position model. The record is from RNAcentral.